This 86-nucleotide transfer RNA is filed under the name Marinactinospora thermotolerans DSM 45154. RNAcentral describes it as "tRNA_Tyr_GTA". It matches the Rfam family "tRNA". Rfam says of the family: Transfer RNA (tRNA) molecules are approximately 80 nucleotides in length. Their secondary structure includes four short double-helical elements and three loops (D, anti-codon, and T loops). The record is from RNAcentral. Lineage: Bacteria; Bacillati; Actinomycetota; Actinomycetes; Streptosporangiales; Nocardiopsidaceae.
GGGAGCGCGCCGGAGCCGGAGAGCCGGACCCGGCUGUAAACCGGGGGCCUCGUGUUCAGGGGGUUCGAAUCCCUCCGCUCCCACCC